ACGAACGCUGGCGGCGUGCUUAACACAUGCAAGUCGAACGGAAAGGCCCCUUUGGGGGUACUCGAGUGGCGAACGGGUGAGUAACACGUGAGUAACCUGCCCUUGACUUCGGGAUAACUUCAGGAAACUGGGGCUAAUACCGGAUAGGAAUCCUUGCUGCAUGGUAGGGGUUGGAAAGCUUCGGCGGUUUUGGAUGGACUCGCGGCUUAUCAGCUUGUUGGUGGGGUAGUGGCUUACCAAGGCUUUGACGGGUAGCCGGCCUGAGAGGGCGACCGGCCACAUUGGGACUGAGAUACGGCCCAGACUCCUACGGGAGGCAGCAGUGGGGAAUAUUGCACAAUGGGCGGAAGCCUGAUGCAGCAACGCCGCGUGCGGGAUGACGGCCUUCGGGUUGUAAACCGCUUUCAGCAGGGGCGAAGCUUGUGGUGACGGUACCUGCAGAGGAAGCACCGGCUAACUACGUG
Molecule: ribosomal RNA, 464 nt
Filed under: uncultured bacterium
Lineage: Bacteria
Description: partial 16S ribosomal RNA
Rfam family: Bacterial small subunit ribosomal RNA
Source: RNAcentral